RNA transcript from Perca fluviatilis (European perch), 4549 nucleotides. It is a transcript of the gene named SHC-transforming protein 1-like, with no coding region annotated. NCBI's taxonomy places the organism in Eukaryota, Metazoa, Chordata, Actinopteri, Perciformes, Percidae. The transcript has 15 exons. The record is from RefSeq and is a predicted model, not a curated record.
CACCGUCAUAGAGAGAUAGAGGAAGUGAGCGAGAGUCUCUCAUUCCUAAAAAAAAAAAAAAAGAGAAAAGUUCAUUCAUAAAAAAGCUGCACAGUUCUGCUGCGCCUCAGAAAGAAAAGACCGAGGGGAGGAAAGUUGAUGUGGAGGUGAAGCCGAGCUGGAAGACUGGCAACUGCCUGAGAAAGUGUAUGGGUUGUGUGAGAGUUAUGAUGGGGGUGUACACAGCAUGACUAGAGCAAAGCAGACUGGACUGUAGACUACACAGGACAUCCCCUGUCCCACGCUGUGCUCUCCCUUGUCCAGUUCCCUGAUUAUGAGAGAGCAAACCUUACCCAGGUUCAAAUCACAGAAAGGACUCUCACCAGGCAUGCUGAAGCGCACCAAAUACAGUCGUCUGCGCAACGAUUCGCUGACCUCUCUGGAGGAUCUGCCCCAAAGAAUGCUGCCCCCUAGAGAGGACCUUUGCUUAGACUCUGAUUUUGCCCAGCUGGAUCCCGGGACGCCUACACAUCACGGGCCGUCCACCCUGAGGGACUUCAUCCCCCGUGUGGCCAACAUCCGAUUGCAAAGUCCUAUUUCCCUGCGGGGCAUGAGGGGACAGACGGACUCAGAGGACAGAACCAUUGAUGGACACACUGACAGACCCUUGUCCAGAGCAGAGUGGGGCUCAGGGAGAUUUUGUAGCCAACCUUCCUUCAAUUUGCCCCUAUCCACUAAUAACUUGGCUCUGCGCUGCACAAAAAGACCCAUAACCCUGCAUCGGAUGGCCAGCCUGCCCUGGACCCCCGGCUGUCCUUGCUCACAACACAGAGACGGUCUCUGUCGUUUGAAGACCUCCUCGGCGGUAGAUGACUGUACAGUGGAGGGGACAGCAGACAGAGUGGUUCACCGUCACAUCAAGUACAUGGGUAGUGUGGAGGUGACCCAGUCCAUGAGAACCCUCGACUUUGAUACAAGAAUGAAAGUCACACGUGAAGCAAUCAGCAGACUGUGUGAGAGGACAUCAGCCAAGAGAGCAGUGAAAACUAAAAGGCCUGUAUGCAAGGGACUGUCUUCUCUUCUGGGUCAAAUCAACCUACAGUUUUCUGGGAGCAAGAGCAUUCUCACUGUCUCCACAGACAGCGUGACUCUGAUUGCUGCCUCCUCCUUACAGAUUGCCCACCACCCCAUGCAGGCCAUUUCAUUUGCCUCAGGAGGAGAUCCAGACAUGGCAGAUUACAUCGCUUAUGUUGCCAAGGACCUCGUCAAUCAGAGAGCAUGUCACAUCCUGGAGUGUCCCCGGGGUUGUGCCGGUGAGGUUAUCAACAGCAUCGGUCAGGCUUUUGAGACUCGUUUCCGCCAACUUCUCAGCCACACACCAUCGCUCCUCUCCAACAAUCCCAGGUCAGCAGCAGUGCAAAUCUGUCACAAAUGGAGCCCGGAGGAGACAAUAACAGACCAAAGGUUAGAGCAGGAAGGCGAAGAAGCCAGGAAGCACCGCGACUACUACAAUGUGAUCCCAGGAAAGACGCCGCCCGCUGGUGGAAUAGAGGACCUGCGGAUUACAAGAGAGGACAAACAGGAUGCUGACAUACAAGGGGUUUGUUCAUCUCAGCCUGUUUCACUGUGUGAGAACUGCUCCAUCACAGAAGAAACUCCAGCUCCACCUGCAGACUCGGUGGUAUCGGCGGUCAGUGCUAAACGGUGUACCCCACUCUCUGACACACAGAUCCACCUGAUCCAGGAGGAAGGCUGGUUCCACGGCAGGUUAGGAAGAGAGCAGGCGGAGUCACUUCUCACCUGUAGUGGGGAUUUCCUGGUCAGAGAGAGCAGCUCUGCCUCUCGUCAGUAUGUACUCAGCGGGAUGGAGGGAGCCACCGUGCGGCACUUACUGCUGGUGGACCCACAUGGGCAGGUGCGGACUCGUGAUCAGGUGUUUUUGAGUGUGGGUCACCUGGUGCGUUUCCACAUGGAGAACCAGAUGCCCAUCGUCUCUGGAAGCAGUGAGCUGUGUCUGAAACAGCCAAUCCUACAAAGACACUAAAACACACAUUUAUAGACCGUCACAUGCAUAUAUUAGCCUUCAGCAGUGGUUCUCCUCAAUGGUUUUUGGAGCUGAAGCACAAUGUGCUAAAGCAAAAAAAUAAAAAGGAAAUGUUUAAACCUUUCAACACUUUUAAAUCAACCUGUCAACAUGUGAGAUACCACUUCCUAGAAUAUUUUAUUAUUUGGUCAUUAAAGUUCAUAUAUUAUAUACGUGAAUUGUUUGAUUUUCUUACCAUUUGAGUAAAUUCUCACACGCCCCGUGUUGAGAACUGGCCUGCAGAACAUCCUGUCUCUCUCUCUCUCUCUCUCUCUCUCUCUCUCUCUCUCUCCCAGGCUGAAUUUGCUGGUGUUUUAAGUCAAAGCACAAUCACUGAUAUCAGAAGGAAUUUACCACAAUGUUGGCAGACUUUCAGAAUCAUUUUUGACAUGGUUUCUUGUGUUCAUUUGUUUUGAUUUGUUAUUGCCUUGUGUCCUCAUUUCCAUGCUUGAGUUUUGAAACCCACUUAUUUGUUACAUUCUGUAAUAAAUAAUUCAAAUGCUACAGAAACAGAUUUGCAGUUUAGUCUUAGAUGAACUGGUAAAUAUGCAAAUAGUAAUGUUUUUGUUCCACAUAAAGUGUAAUCAAAUACAUUUUCAGUUCUUUUACAGAAUGGAUUACUGGACUUUGUCUGACAUUUUUUUUAUUGGUAAUCCUCCAACCACAAAAACCCAACUUUAUUUCUUCUUACACUUCCAGUAAUCCAGGCUACUUUAUCGUACAGUACAAAAGGUAAUUGCUAUUUUUAGGUGCAGGCUCUAGGGAGGUUGUAAGUGCAUUGAUUUGUCCUCCAAAUUUCAUGAUUAUAUCAGAAAACAGCAAAUUACCAGAUGACAGACACAUCGUAAAAAUGAGUUAAUGGAAAUAAAAUAUUUAUAGAACAUAAAAAUGAUAUUCACAAACAACUUUUUAUUGUGUCAAUGUUUUAUUAACAUGUGUAGCUGAGACAUAAAGGUGUAAUUUGUUGUCUUAUUUUGGAAGGUGUCAUUAGUUUCCUGUAGAGUUAAACAGCCAAUCAAAGUGCUCAAUGCAAUCUGCUACACAAAGGAAGGAAGAGUUGAUUGAUUUAAUAUUUCUUGUUUUACAUUCUGGUAUGGAAUGUGACCAAAGACACGAGUCAAGAGCCUCUGUUUUUGGAGGUGAAAAUUCUAGCAAGGAACCAUCAAUAAUUGACACAGAAUUUGAAGAGGAAAUGGGCAGGUGUCCUCUUUGCUCAGAUAAAAAAAACACAGCAAAGUCUGACAGCAGAAUUACAGCAUAUGGCAAAGAACACCAAGCAGUUGCAAACAAAAAACAACUUUUGAGCUCAUGUUCUCUGAAAUUUACCUGUCUGGGAAGAGAAUAUGGUCAACUGAAGUUGGUCAUAAACACAACACUGUACCACUUCACCUGCUCUCUAAGAACACAUCGCAAGAAGAAGCACAGUGGAGCCUGCUCUUGAAGAACACAUUGCAAGAAAAAACACAGUCUGAAGUAGAGAACAAAGAGCUGAAGAAACUUCUGAACUCCACUUAGUAAAACUUCACUCUUCUGGGAAGUGAGUAUGGCCAACUGAAGCUGCUCAUUAACGCAACACGGUGCAACUUCACCUUUUUGUCUGCUGAAACUACACAGCUGAGCCUGCUCUUGACGAACACAUCACAAGAAAAAGCACAGUUGCAAGUGGAGAACACAGAGCUGAACAUGUUUCUAAAUUCAACACUGGAAAACUGACCUUGUGGAAGAGGAGAACAGGCAACUGAACCUGCUUCUGAAUGAAUUAUUGCACAGCAUCACCAUGGAGUAUGAAACAAUGAACAACAAUCCUCUAUGCAGCUGGCAGCAGAAAGUCAACGCCAGCAUUUAAUGCUGUUCUUGUUCUCAUUUAAAUCUGUCCUUCCUCUGGAAAUUCUGCAACAAGGACACACUGCAGUGCAGAAGUGGGGAAAAGCUCGCAGGAAGAGCCUUGACAAGAGGCUUGACCUGGCUGUUGUCUUGAAUGCCGAAGACAAGGCAUUCUUGACCAACAUGACUUUUCAGUUUGUACAGCAGCACCCUCAAGAAAACUCUCGGGAUCGCGUGGAUCGGGUUGCAGGACAUGGUGAAGGAGGGUGUCCACUUCUGGGUCAAUGGAAACAGAAUUCAAAGAAUUUUUAUAUACUGGAAUGACCUGGACCCAAAGAAGGCCGUGGCCUCUUGGGACAAAGACCGAGCAGGACAGGACUGUGUUGCCAUUGUCCAGUGGAGUCACAUUGGACAGGAGAAUUACUUAAACUCCUGGGAAGACAUAGUUUGUGGUGGUGACCGUGCCUCUUAGUUUGUACUGAACGACAGACCUGCAUGUUGUUAAGCUGUGGAGGAAAAGCAACAUCUCACUCUCAGGCUGAGUUUGCUGGUGUUUACUCAAAGUCUACAUGUAAGCGUAAUCUAAGCACCAUCGCUGGUGUCGUGAGGGAAUUACUUUCGGAAUGAUUAUCUUACAUAUUAAAUUUCUCUUGUUUUUAUGUU